CGGCAGCUGGGCGGGCAUCCCUGGUGGCGAGUGGCGAACGGGUGAGUAAUAUAUCGGAACGUGCCCGAUCGUGGGGGAUAACGUAGCGAAAGUUACGCUAAUACCGCAUACGAUCUACGGAUGAAAGCGGGGGACCGUAAGGCCUCGCGCGAACGGAGCGGCCGAUAUCAGAUUAGGUAGUUGGUGGGGUAAAGGCCCACCAAGCCAACGAUCUGUAGCUGGUCUGAGAGGACGACCAGCCACACUGGGACUGAGACACGGCCCAGACUUCUACGGGAGGCAGCAGUGGGGAAUUUUGGACAAUGGGCGAAAGCCUGAUCCAGCCAUUCCGCGUGCAGGACGAAGGCCUUCGGGUUGUAAACUGCUUUUGUACGGAACGAAAAGGUUUCAGCUAAUACCUGGGACUCAUGACGGUACCGUAAGAAUAAGCACCGGCUAACUCUGUG
RNAcentral lists this ribosomal RNA (446 nucleotides) under uncultured bacterium. RNAcentral's name for it is "bacterial SSU rRNA". It matches the Rfam family "Bacterial small subunit ribosomal RNA", at positions 67 to 507 of the family's 1533-position model. The record is from RNAcentral.